GUGGUUCACCUGAUUUGAAGAGCUUGCUCAGAUAUGACGAUGGACAUUGCAAAGAGUGGCGAACGGGUGAGUAACACGUGGGAAACCUACCUCUUAGCAGGGGAUAACAUUUGGAAACAGAUGCUAAUACCGUAUAACAAUAGCAACCGCAUGGUUGCUACUUAAAAGAUGGUUCUGCUAUCACUAAGAGAUGGUCCCGCGGUGCAUUAGUUAGUUGGUGAGGUAAUGGCUCACCAAGACGAUGAUGCAUAGCCGAGUUGAGAGACUGAUCGGCCACAAUGGGACUGAGACACGGCCCAUACUCCUACGGGAGGCAGCAGUAGGGAAUCUUCCACAAUGGGCGAAAGCCUGAUGGAGCAACGCCGCGUGUGUGAUGAAGGGUUUCGGCUCGUAAAACACUGUUGUAAGAGAAGAAUGACAUUGAGAGUAACUGUUCAAUGUGUGACGGUAUCUUACCAGAAAGGGACGGCUAAAUACGUGCCACACAGCCGCGGUAAUACGAA
RNAcentral lists this ribosomal RNA (503 nucleotides) under Weissella cibaria. Its description in RNAcentral is "bacterial SSU rRNA". It matches the Rfam family "Bacterial small subunit ribosomal RNA", at positions 61 to 529 of the family's 1533-position model. The record is from RNAcentral. Lineage: Bacteria; Bacillati; Bacillota; Bacilli; Lactobacillales; Lactobacillaceae.